AGUGAACGCUGGCGGUAGGCCUAACACAUGCAAGUCGAACGGCAGCACAGUAAGAGCUUGCUCUUACGGGUGGCGAGUGGCGGACGGGUGAGGAAUACAUCGGAAUCUACUUUUUCGUGGGGGAUAACGUAGGGAAACUUACGCUAAUACCGCAUACGACCUACGGGUGAAAGCAGGGGAUCUUCGGACCUUGCGCGAUUGAAUGAGCCGAUUUCGGAUUAGCUAGUUGGCGGGGUAAAGGCCCACCAAGGCGACGAUCCGUAGCUGGUCUGAGAGGAUGAUCAGCCACACUGGAACUGAGACACGGUCCAGACUCCUACGGGAGGCAGCAGUGGGGAAUAGUGGACAAUGGGCGCAAGCCUGAUCCAGCCAUACCGCGUGGGUGAAGAAGGCCUUCGGGUUGUAAAGCCCUUUUGUUGGGAAAGAAAAGCAGCAGGUUAAUACCCCGCUGUUCUGACGGUACCCAAAGAAUAAGCACCGGCUAACUUCGUG
RNAcentral lists this ribosomal RNA (492 nucleotides) under uncultured bacterium. Its description in RNAcentral is "partial 16S ribosomal RNA". It matches the Rfam family "Bacterial small subunit ribosomal RNA", at positions 29 to 507 of the family's 1533-position model. The record is from RNAcentral.